AAAGGUGUUACUUCCCGAAAAUGAAAUGACGUGUCUUACACAACACCCAUUGUUUGUUCCAUCCGGCAGCCUCUCUAAAGAUGGAAGGAACAAGGGCCUUGGUCCUGUCUAUGUCGCUGGAGCUCCUGGUGGACUGGGACGAUGCCGCACGUUUCCGAGGCUCACAGGCAACGUUUUGGCCCCAGUGUAUAUGCUUGCUCUCCCGCAGUACAGCCUGAGCCUGAGGUGGUGGACUUGGCUUCUACUGCACUUGCCUCUACUGUGUUAUCUUUAGUCCCUUCCCUUGCGUUGCGACGCUUGUCAGAAUUUUACUCAGACAAGCCCCAGAGCCCUUCCCAAGUCUCCUCCUCUAAACGCUCUCCCCCUCCACAUUCCUCAGAGCCUCCCGUCUUCUGAGGCAAAAUCUCAGCUUCUCCAUUGUCAGGGCCUCACCUGUGCAGGCCUCCGCACCACCCCUCCUCUGCCCAGGCACCCCAUGCUCACAUGCCAACUCUGCUCUCUGCACACGGGCCUUGUCCCCUUGUGUCUGCUUCUGUCACUACACGUGCAGUUUCGGCUCACUUCCCACUGCCUGCUGGGAGAAUGUCUUCAUCUUUCUAGGACCAGCGGGCCCAGUAUGCUCUCUGGGAGGACCUCUGCAGCUAUGCAGAGCAGCGGGUGUCUGCAAUCUGCAUUCCUAUAGGGCAUACAUUUAUGCAGUGUGGUGGGCGGGGCCGCCCCCCCACGGCCCCCCACCACAGGCCUGCUCCCCACAGGCGGAGAGAGUGCUGUUAUUUAUGAAGAUACACAACAAAUAAUGUUCUUUUAAAAUAAAGCUUUAUCAUUUGGGCCUUUUGGCUUACCCUCCCAUUAAAUAUUUUUUAUGAAGAAUGAAAAACAAUCACCUCCAUUUCUUUUUCGGAGUCAAGGUUCCCAGUCUGGCUGUCGUCUUCAGGUGAUGACUAGAAGUUUAAAGACAAACAACUUUUUAUUCAAAGAUCUAUUAAAGAGGUCACGUGAGGAAAGUCGUUCCUGCAUGAAGGCUGUACAGCAAUUCUCGCUGAACCCGAGGUGCUGACCCAGCACUGCCGAGUCACCCAGGGCCCAGCAGCCACGUGGGGGCAGAGGACAAGCCAACAGCAGCCAAAGCCCUCAGGAGCUGAGGACCCCUGGAGAGACACACAGGGUUCUUCUAACUGCGGUGACAAGGACAUUGUGGAGCUUGACUCUCUUCUACUUAUCAGGAGGGACAUUUUCUGGUUCUAAUCUUUGAGCUAAGGGUGUGAUUAUUCCAGAUGAUGAACUAUGGCCAACUAAACUGGAGACAGUUUACAAGUGUUAACGGCAGGGAGCAAAGAGGAAACUUCUUACUUUUUUCCUUGUGACCCCACCGUUGUGUUGUUACCGAAUAAUAAAGGAAAGGACAUUAUUAUUUUAGUCAACUCA
Molecule: long non-coding RNA, 1425 nt
Organism: Mustela lutreola (European mink)
Lineage: Eukaryota; Metazoa; Chordata; Mammalia; Carnivora; Mustelidae
Exons: 2
Source: RefSeq, a predicted model, not a curated record